Non-coding RNA from Pangasianodon gigas (Mekong giant catfish), 80 nucleotides. NCBI's taxonomy places the organism in Eukaryota, Metazoa, Chordata, Actinopteri, Siluriformes, Pangasiidae. The record is from the annotation of a GenBank genome assembly.
GGCAGUGGCAGCUCAGUGGUUAAGGCGUUGGACUAUUGAUCAGAAAGUUGUGAGUACAAAUCCCAUUGAACUCACUACCA